GACGAACGCUGGCGGCGUGCUUAAUACAUGCAAGUCGAGCGAGGUUACUGUUUUGGAUCCCUUCGGGGUGAAGAAGCUUUAACCUAGCGGCGGACGGGUGAGUAACGCGUGGGUAACCUACCCCAAAGUCCGGGAUAACAGCGGGAAACCGCUGCUAAUACCGGAUGCCUUUACCUUGGGGCAUCUUGAGGUAAAGAAAGGCAACGCUUUGGGAUGGGCCCGCGUCCCAUUAGCUAGUUGGUGAGGUAACGGCUCACCAAGGCGACGAUGGGUAGCCGGCCUGAGAGGGUGGACGGCCACACUGGGACUGAGACACGGCCCAGACUCCUACGGGAGGCAGCAGUAGGGAAUAUUGCGCAAUGGACGGAAGUCUGACGCAGCGACGCCGCGUGAGCGAUGAAGGUCUUCGGAUCGUAAAGCUCUGUCCUUGGGGAAGAAGGUCUUCGGACUUGACGGUACCCAAGAAGAAAGCCCCGGCUAACUACGUGCCAGCAGCCGCGGUAAUACGUAGGGGGCGAGCGUUGUCCGGAAUUACUGGGCGUAAAGGGUGCGUAGGCGGCCCUUUAAGUCGGAUGUGAAAGCCCGCGGCUUAACCGCGGAAUGGCAUUCGAAACUGGAGGGCU
RNAcentral lists this ribosomal RNA (623 nucleotides) under uncultured bacterium. RNAcentral's name for it is "bacterial SSU rRNA". It matches the Rfam family "Bacterial small subunit ribosomal RNA", at positions 28 to 642 of the family's 1533-position model. The record is from RNAcentral.